This 207-nucleotide long non-coding RNA is filed under the name Elaeis guineensis (African oil palm). RNAcentral's name for it is "long non-coding RNA (EGUI_LNC075077)". Lineage: Eukaryota; Viridiplantae; Streptophyta; Magnoliopsida; Arecales; Arecaceae. The record is from RNAcentral.
GCUGGGUGUAUUUUGGCUGGCUCCUUUGUGUAGGUGACAUCGGGGCGCCGCACGGGUUUGCUCGUCCAAGAGGCGAAGUCCGUGAUAAAGUGGUAUCAGAGCAGGCACGAUCGAAGAAACCUGUGCAACACAAAUGGGACGCAAGAACAGUGGUGAGACAAGUGGGAUGAUGCAAGAAGAGGAGGCAAUGGUUGCCGCCUCAGCCCC